RNAcentral lists this long non-coding RNA (228 nucleotides) under Lathyrus oleraceus (garden pea). RNAcentral describes it as "Pisum sativum (pea) long non-coding RNA (PSAT_LNC024800)". Lineage: Eukaryota; Viridiplantae; Streptophyta; Magnoliopsida; Fabales; Fabaceae. The record is from RNAcentral.
GUUAUAAGUUAUAAAUGACAUUGAGGUUUGAUUGUAAAGUCUGGGGAAAUUUGUAUGCGAGAUCGAUAUCAUUUUAACGCUUUAAGUCUCCUGAACAUGGGAAUUAAUUUGAAUAUUCAUUAUGUCGAAAACCUUGUAUCCUUAUCUAGUGAAAUAGUUCAGGCAGUCAGCAUCAUCUUGGUCACGCUUUACGUAGGAGGUUGAUGCAAAUAAAUGUUCGGUCCAAAG